AGGACUGUCACAAAAGUAGACAAUGAUCUAUGGAGGACUGUUACAAAAAUAGACAUUGAUCUAAUCCGAUAACUAUGAAUGUGAUCACAAAAGAAGUUGGGAUCAUCUAUAUUAUCCAAAAACCCACAAAUGAUCAUCUCCUAACCCAACUUUUGGUGCCAUCAAUCAAAACCUGGUCAUCUCCUCAUCAAUUAGCUUGAUAUUAUGACAUGAAGACAUGGGAAGAG
RNAcentral lists this long non-coding RNA (227 nucleotides) under Vitis vinifera (wine grape). RNAcentral's name for it is "long non-coding RNA (VVIN_LNC007942)". The record is from RNAcentral. Lineage: Eukaryota; Viridiplantae; Streptophyta; Magnoliopsida; Vitales; Vitaceae.